AAAUGCGAUAAGUAAUGUGAAUUGCAGAAUUCAGUGAAUCAUCGAAUCUUUGAACGCACCUUGCGCUCCUUGGUAUUCCUUGGAGCAUGCCUGUUUGAGUAUCAUGAAAUCUUCAAAGUAAAUCUUUUGUUAACUCAAUUGGUUUCUACUUUGGUAUUGGAGGUCUUUGCAGCUUCACACCUGCUCCUCUUUGUUCAUUAGCUGGAUCUCAGUGUUAUGUUUGGUUCCACUCGGCGUGAUAAGUUAUCUAUCGCUGAGGACACUGUAAAAGGUGGCCAAGGUAAAUGCAGAUGAACCGCUUCUAAUAGUCCAUUGACUUGGACAAUACUUUUAUGAUCUGAUCUCAAAUCAGGUAGGACUACCCGCUGAACUUAAGC
RNAcentral lists this unclassified non-coding RNA (377 nucleotides) under plant metagenome. RNAcentral describes it as "partial contains 5.8S ribosomal RNA, internal transcribed spacer 2, and large subunit ribosomal RNA". The stretch from base 1 to 104 matches the Rfam family "5.8S ribosomal RNA", at positions 51 to 154 of the family's 154-position model. The record is from RNAcentral.